RNAcentral lists this ribosomal RNA (250 nucleotides) under uncultured bacterium. Its description in RNAcentral is "partial 16S ribosomal RNA". It matches the Rfam family "Bacterial small subunit ribosomal RNA", at positions 524 to 773 of the family's 1533-position model. The record is from RNAcentral.
UACGUAAGGGGCAAGCGUUAUCCGGAUUUACUGGGUGUAAAGGGAGCGUAGGCGGUAUGGCAAGUCAGAUGUGAAAGGCAGGGGCUCAACCCCUGGACUGCAUUUGAAACUGUCAAACUAGAUUGCAGGAGAGGUAAGUGGAAUUCCUAGUGUAGCGGUGAAAUGCGUAGAUAUUAGGAGGAACACCGGUGGCGAAGGCGGCUUACUGGACUGUAAAUGACGCUGAGGCUCGAAAGCGUGGGGAGCAAAC